This 253-nucleotide ribosomal RNA is filed under the name uncultured bacterium. Its description in RNAcentral is "partial 16S ribosomal RNA". It matches the Rfam family "Bacterial small subunit ribosomal RNA", at positions 524 to 776 of the family's 1533-position model. The record is from RNAcentral.
UACGAAGGGGGCUAGCGUUGCUCGGAAUCACUGGGCGUAAAGCGCACGUAGGCGGAUUGUCAAGUCAGGGGUGAAAUCCUGGAGCUCAACUCCAGAACUGCCUUUGAUACUGGCGAUCUUGAGUCCGGGAGAGGUGAGUGGAACUGCGAGUGUAGAGGUGAAAUUCGUAGAUAUUCGCAAGAACACCAGUGGCGAAGGCGGCUCACUGGCCCGGUACUGACGCUGAGGUGCGAAAGCGUGGGGAGCAAACAGG